AGCCGCGGUAACACCGGCGGCCCGAGUGGUGAUCGUGAUUAUUGGGUCUAAAGGGUCCGUAGCCGGUUUGGUCAGUCCUCCGGGAAAUCUGAUAGCUCAACUAUUAGGCUUUCGGGGGAUACUGCCAGACUUGGGAACCGGGAGAGGUAAGAGGUACUACAGGGGUAGGAGUGAAAUCUUGUAAUCCCUGUGGGACCACCUGUGGCGAAGGCGUCUUACCAGAACGGGUUCGACGGUGAGGGACGAAAGCUGGGGGCACGAACCGGAUUAGAUACCCGGGUAGUCCCAGCCGUAAACGAUGCUCGCUAGGUGUCAGGCAUGGCGCGACCGUGUCUGGUGCCGCAGGGAAGCCGUGAAGCGAGCCACCUGGGAAGUACGGCCGCAAGGCUGAAACUUAAAGGAAUUGGCGGGGGAGCACAACAACGGGUGGAGCCCUGCGGUUUAAUUGGACUCAACGCCGGACAACUCACCGGGGGCGACAGCAAUAUGUAGGCCAAGCUGAAGACUUUGCCUGAAUCGCUGAGAGGUGGUGCAUGG
RNAcentral lists this ribosomal RNA (537 nucleotides) under uncultured archaeon. RNAcentral's name for it is "bacterial SSU rRNA". It matches the Rfam family "Archaeal small subunit ribosomal RNA", at positions 463 to 997 of the family's 1478-position model. The record is from RNAcentral.